AUUUAUAUAGUUUAAAUUAAAACUUUACAUUUUCAUUGUAAAAAUAAAAUAAAUAAUUUUUAUAAAUA
This 68-nucleotide transfer RNA is filed under the name Protegira songi. RNAcentral's name for it is "tRNA-Glu". Lineage: Eukaryota; Metazoa; Arthropoda; Insecta; Lepidoptera; Noctuidae. The record is from RNAcentral.